AAUCUCGCGGGAAGCACCCGUCGACUUUUUCUUUUUUUAAAACACGUGAAAACAUGACAGCCGAAGACGCCUCCGAUAUUUGCACAUUUCUAGUGCUUUUAUUUCCGUCUCUUUGUUUUGUAAGUUGACAGCAGUGUGAGGAACAUGUCACUGCUGACUUCCAUUGAGAACGCUAUCAAGUCCUGCAAAGAAGAGCAAGCCAGGUUGGAGUGCCGCAUCCAGUACUACAGAGAAGUUGUGUUGCACAGCCACACAACUCCGCAUGAAUCUGAACUGACUGAGGCUGCUGCUACCACUGCUACAGACACAGCCACAUGCUCGGGGGAAGCAGAAGACCUAAAACUGAUCGAGCAAACUUUGGAAAAAGCUUUUCAGCUCCGCACUCGCUACAGUCUUUUUAGUGGAGACUCUGAAGGAACGAAACCCUCUCAGCCGAGAAAGAAACCCCCUGACACGAGUGUCCAAUCUAAAGGGGCAACUUCAAAAGCCUCUGCUGCUUCUAAAGGAAACCAAUCAGCAACCGCUCUUGAGUGCGGCACUCUUGACCGGAGAGGGCAAAGAAAGCCUGGAACAUCGUCUUCACGUGGUGGACGAUCCUCGGCUGUCUGCUAUCCCACAAGUAAAAAUGGGAUUCCCAACCGUCCUGCUCCAUCAGCCGUGAAGCAUGUCCCGCGUGUUACUACCUCAGUGAAAAAAGUGGCGACAAGUGGUGUGCAGAGUGAUGAUGACUUGGCCAAGGCUUCAACUGUAACGUGUUCUUCGACAAAGGUGAAGGACACAGAAGAUCACCAUCGGCCCCCAUCACAGCCAAGGAGAACACAGUGUGAGCAGACGGCACAAUGGAAAUCUCUGUGGAUGAACCAAAACAGAUUGUGGGACAAAGUAACGGCUGCUCAAAGGAAACCUGUGCCCGGGAGGAGUCGCUUCAUGGAGAGAAUGAGAGCAACGUUCCCUAAGGACUGGCCACAUGGAAGCCCGGACCAGAUCAGGGGUCUGGUUGGCAGACUGAAGUACCAGACUGAUGAACUGGUCCAGCAGUGCCAUACAAGGGACCUUUUGGACCAAAGUACCGAAACGGGGGUGAAAGACAAAAAGCAUUCCUGUCUCCCACUUGAGAGCUUGCAAAGAACAGCAGUGAACCUCCUGAGGACUGCAGAGCAGGCGAAACAAGAGUGGGAAGCAUGGGAUCGAUGCAGGCCAGAGGGAGGUUGCCUUUGUGCCGUUGGGGCCGUGGAGGAUGAGGCGACUGCAGGUCGUCUGCCCGUAACAAUCAAUUACACCUCCCAGGCCGAACUAAGAGAGCUGGAGACGCUCAGGAUGAGAGUGGCUCUGCUGCAACAGGAGAUAUCCUUCCAGCAAGCUCUGCAAGACGCUCUGGCCCCUCAGUUGGCCUCCAUUAUUUCUUCAUGUCCUAAUCGCAGUGUGCUGAGAGAUUUGUACUCCUUACUGGGUGAAGGAGGUCAGCGUUUCCCCGCUAUAGUCCAAGACAAUGAGCCUGAGUGACUCGUGAGAUGACUGAAAGGGCUAACGAUGCAGUACAUCUCCAAUACACUUUGCGUUUGAUUCAUGAAGUCCAGUCCAGCACCAGUGCGGGGGUCGGCAACCUACAACGAUGAAAGAAACCAUAUUGGACCGAAAACACAAAAAACAAAUCAGUCUGGAGGCCCAAAAAAAAGAAGUUUUAUAAUGAAGGCAACACAUGAUGUAAGUGUCUAUGUAAGUUGUAUUAGCCUACUAUAUAAAUUAAUUUAAACAAGCCUUAUAUAAGUGUUAUAAUGAAGACAACACAUGACGUAAGUGUCUAUAUUUGCUAUAUUAGCUUAUCAAAAUUACUUUAAAAGUCUGAUAGAAGUGUUAUAAUGAAGGCAGCACGUGACGUAAGUGUCUAAAUAGCCUACUAUCAAAAUUACUUUAAAGUUCUUAUAUAAGUGUUGUAAUGAAGGCAACACAUGAUGUGUCUGUAUUAGUUAUAUUAACCUACUAUCAAAAUUACUUUAAAAGACUUACAUAAGUUAUAAUGAAGACAACACAUGAUGUAAGUGUCCAUAUUAAUUAUAUUACCCUACUAUCAAAAAGACUUGUAUAAGUGUUAUAAUGAAGACAACAUGAUGUAAGUGUCUAUAUUUGUUAUAUUAGUCUACUAUUAAAAUUACUUUAAAAGUCUUAUAUAAGUGUUAUAAUGAAGACAACACAUGAUGUGUCUAUUAGUUAUAUUAGCCUACUAUCAAAACAACUUUAAAAGUCUUAUUUAAGUGUUAUAAUAAAGACAACACAUGAUGUACUGUAAGUGUCUAUAUUAGCUAUAAUAGCCCACUAUUAGAAUGACUUUGAGUCCCAGGCUGAAGGAAAUCUUUGUUGACAGAAAUGUUGAAAUGUAAUAUUUAUUCUACACAUUUUUACAACUUUAGAAACCAUUAGUAAA
Molecule: RNA transcript, 2422 nt
Organism: Nerophis ophidion (straightnose pipefish)
Lineage: Eukaryota; Metazoa; Chordata; Actinopteri; Syngnathiformes; Syngnathidae
Exons: 10
Source: RefSeq, a predicted model, not a curated record